UACAGAGGGUGCGAGCGUUGUUCGGAAUUACUGGGCGUAAAGCGCGCGCAGGCGGCCUUUUAAGUCUACCCGUGAAAUGCCGGAGCUCAACUCCGUGCACGCCGGGGGAUACUGGGAGGCUAGAGACAGGUAGAGGCAAGCGGAAUUCCGGGUGUAGCGGUGGAAUGCGUAGAUAUCCGGAAGAACACCUGAGGCGAAGGCGGCUUGCUGGGCCUGAUCUGACGCUGAGGCGCGAAAGCGUGGGGAGCAAACAGG
RNAcentral lists this ribosomal RNA (255 nucleotides) under uncultured bacterium. RNAcentral's name for it is "partial 16S ribosomal RNA". It matches the Rfam family "Bacterial small subunit ribosomal RNA", at positions 524 to 776 of the family's 1533-position model. The record is from RNAcentral.